GUAGGGAAUCUUCCACAAUGGACGAAAGUCUGAUGGAGCAACGCCGCGUGAGCGAAGAAGGUUUUCGGAUCGUAAAACUCUGUUGUUGGAGAAGAACACGUUUGAGAGUAACUGUUCAGACGUUGACGGUAUCCAACCAGAAAGCCACGGCUAACUACGUGCCAGCAGCCGCGGUAAUACGUAGGUGGCAAGCGUUAUCCGGAUUUAUUGGGCGUAAAGCGAGCGCAGGCGGUUUUUUAAGUCUGAUGUGAAAGCCUUCGGCUUAACCGAAGAAGUGCAUCGGAAACUGGGAAACUUGAGUGCAGAAGAGGACAGUGGAACUCCAUGUGUAGCGGUGAAAUGCGUAGAUAUAUGGAAGAACACCAGUGGCGAAGGCGGCUGUCUGGUCUGUAACUGACGCUGAGGCUCGAAAGCAUGGGUAGCGAACAGGAUUAGAAACCCGAGUAGUCC
RNAcentral lists this ribosomal RNA (450 nucleotides) under uncultured bacterium. RNAcentral's name for it is "partial 16S ribosomal RNA". It matches the Rfam family "Bacterial small subunit ribosomal RNA", at positions 354 to 796 of the family's 1533-position model. The record is from RNAcentral.